GACGAACGCUGGCGGCGUGCUUAACACAUGCAAGUCGAGCGGAAAACUUCGGUUUUCAGCGGCGGACGGGUGAGUAACACGUGGGCAACCUGCCUCACAAUGAGGGAUAGCCUUCCGAAAGGAAGAUUAAUACCUCAUAACACAAGAGAAACGCAUGUUUCUCUUGCCAAAGAAUUUCGUUGUGAGAUGGGCCCGCGGCGCAUUAGCUUGUUGGUGAGGUGACGGCUCACCAAGGCUUCGAUGCGUAGCCGACCUGAGAGGGUGAUCGGCCACAUUGGAACUGAGACACGGUCCAGACUCCUACGGGAGGCAGCAGUGGGGAAUAUUGCACAAUGGAGGAAACUCUGAUGCAGCAACGCCGCGUGAGUGAUGAAGGUCUUCGGAUUGUAAAACUCUGUCUUCUGGGACGAUAAUGACGGUACCAGAGGAGGAAGCCACGGCUAACUACGUGCCAGCCGCCGCGGUAA
RNAcentral lists this ribosomal RNA (467 nucleotides) under uncultured bacterium. Its description in RNAcentral is "partial 16S ribosomal RNA". It matches the Rfam family "Bacterial small subunit ribosomal RNA", at positions 28 to 523 of the family's 1533-position model. The record is from RNAcentral.